This 204-nucleotide ribosomal RNA is filed under the name uncultured Streptococcus sp. RNAcentral's name for it is "partial 16S ribosomal RNA". It matches the Rfam family "Bacterial small subunit ribosomal RNA", at positions 1179 to 1382 of the family's 1533-position model. Lineage: Bacteria; Bacillati; Bacillota; Bacilli; Lactobacillales; Streptococcaceae. The record is from RNAcentral.
UGAACGUCAAAUCAUCAUGCCCCUUAUGACCUGGGCUACACACGUGCUACAAUGGCUGGUACAACGAGUCGCAAGUCGGUGACGACAAGCUAAUCUCUUAAAGCCAGUCUCAGUUCGGAUUGUAGGCUGCAACUCGCCUACAUGAAGUCGGAAUCGCUAGUAAUCGCGGAUCAGCACGCCGCGGUGAAUACGUUCCCGGGCCUU